AUUGAACGCUGGCGGCAGGCCUAACACAUGCAAGUCGAACGAGUGGCGGACGGGUGAGUAAUGUCUGGGAAACUGCCUGAUGGAGGGGGAUAACUACUGGAAACGGUAGCUAAUACCGCAUAACAUCAGAUGUGCCCAGAUGGGAUUAGCUAGUUGGUGGGGUAACGGCUCACCAAGGCGACGAACCCUAGCUGGUCUGAGAGGAUGACCAGCCACACUGGAACUGAGGCACGGUGCAAACUCCUACGGGAGGCGGCGGUGAGGAAUAUUGCACAAUGGGCGCAAGCCUGAUGCAGCCAUGCCGGGUGUAUGAAGAAGGCCUUCGGGUUGUAAAGUACUUUCAGCGGGGAGGCGUUACCCGCAGAAGAAGCACCGGCUAACUCCGUGCCAGCAGCCGCGGUAAUAC
Molecule: ribosomal RNA, 406 nt
Filed under: uncultured bacterium
Lineage: Bacteria
Description: partial 16S ribosomal RNA
Rfam family: Bacterial small subunit ribosomal RNA
Source: RNAcentral